UCGAUUAAACGUUUUAAGGUGUCUUUGAAACGCUGCAAAAGAGUACACACGAUGGACUAACUUUAACGCCAAGUCAAAAGGAAGGAUAGGAUGAGGAUGGAGCGAAAAGGAAGGAAAAGAAAAGCAGGUGAGUAUUCUUCUUCACUCCCCAUUCAUGUCUGUAGACAGAAAAAGGAAUGCUUAAGAAUAAAGAAUGGAGUGGCCCAACUUGGGUUCUUUUUUGCUGAAUAGGUAAGAUUUCCUGUUCAAUCGAAUGAACGCAACAAUUAGCAGCAAGCGAAGGAAAUGGACAUAUAGGCAAAAAAGCCAAUGGGUUAUUCGUACGCGACUGAGACUGGAAUGAGAGAGCUGAGGCAGAGAUUGUUGUGUUGUUAUUAUCAUCAUCCAUAAUUCCUAGUUUUUGUUUCUACUCUUUUCUCUUCGGUGGGAACGGUGUGGUGGAAGAAUGGACAGGUGUGUGUUGAUGAGGCUCGUUGGCAGGAUGUGUGGAUGCUGCGAUAGAACGAACGGCUAAUUGGGUGACAUAGAGAACAAACGGAAGGGAAGCCAAGAAGAAAUGUUUUGUUUCCUUAGAAAAGGAAAGAAGGAAACAGAGGAAAGGAAGGCGAAUGAAUGAUUCAGCCGCUCUGAAUUCAAACCUUUCUGGCUUCCAAGGUCAGCGGUAAGCGAGGAAGAUGAGAUUAAAGUCAACUAAGCUAGCUAGCUGAUACCUUUAAUCAACCAAUAUUAUCUACAUUGGAAUUUUUUGUUUUUCAUCGCGAGACUAAUAUUCAUAACCUUUGUUCCGACAAGCAAAGAAGCUAAAAAAUUGUUGUCAUCUCCGUGCUUUUAUUUCUUAUUGGCCACGAAUCGCUAAGGUUCAUAAAGUCUAACCAGUUGGUAUUUAUUUAUCGGAUCAAGUUUGUGCACUCAGACCUUGUGUCGACAUCGCCAUACUUGUGACCAAAUUCAUUCGAG
This 957-nucleotide long non-coding RNA is filed under the name Musa acuminata (dwarf banana). RNAcentral describes it as "long non-coding RNA (MACU_LNC003349)". The record is from RNAcentral. Lineage: Eukaryota; Viridiplantae; Streptophyta; Magnoliopsida; Zingiberales; Musaceae.